Molecule: long non-coding RNA, 1730 nt
Organism: Oncorhynchus keta (chum salmon)
Lineage: Eukaryota; Metazoa; Chordata; Actinopteri; Salmoniformes; Salmonidae
Exons: 3
Source: RefSeq, a predicted model, not a curated record
UGUUGUAUAUGUUUAUCAUACAUGCUAGUAGCCUAGAGCAUUUCUCCUUUACCAAGAUAAUACAUCCAGCUGCCAGGUGUGGCAUAUCAAGAAGCUGAUUAAACAGCAUGAUCAUUACACAGGUGCACCUUGUGCUGGGGACAAUAAAAGACCACUCUAAAAUGUGCAGUUUGGUCACACAAACGCAAUGCCACAAAUGUCUCAAGUUUUGAGGGAGCGUGCAACUGGUGUGCCGACUGCAGGAAUGUCCACCAGAGCUGAUGCCAGAGAAAUGAAUGUUCAUUUCUCUACCAUAAGCCACCUCCUCCAAUGUCGUUUUAGAGAAUUUGGCAGUAUGUCCAACCAGCCUCUACCGCAAACCACGUGUAUCCACGCCAGCCCAGGACCUGCACAGCCUGCUUCUACACCUGCUGGAUCGUCUGAGACCAGCUACCCAGACAGCUGAUGAAACUGUGGGAUCGUCUGAGACCAGCCACCCGGACAGCUGAUGAAACUGCUGGAUCGUCUGAGACCAGCCACCCGGACAGCUGAUGAAACUGCUGGAUCGUCUGAGACCAGCCACCUGGACAGCUGAUGAAACUGGGAUCGUCUGAGACCAGCCACCUGGACAGCUGAUGAAACUGGGAUCGUCUGAGACCAGCCACCCGGACAGCUGAUGAAACUGCUGGAUCGUCUGAGACCAGCCACCCAGACAGCUGAUGAAACUGGGAUCGUCUGAGACCAGCCACCCGGACAGCUGAUGAAACUGGGAUCGUCUGAGACCAGCCACCCAGACAGCUGAUGAAACUGGGAUCGUCUGAGACCAGCCACCCAGACAGAUGAUGAAAGUGAGUAUUUCUGUCUGUACUAAUGCUGCUCUAAUAUCUCUAUUGCUGGACAUACCAUUCUUAGUCUAUCUUGAGUAAAGUCUUCCGGUUUACAUACAUAUAAUUUCAUCUUGAUUACUGCUACUGUGCUAUUUGGGUGUUAAUCUGAUUCGACAUUCCUGAUUAGUUUUUUUUUCUGUACUUAAAAAAAAUAAAAAAAUAAAAACAUUUAAAUUAUUGUUGUACUUGUUUGAAAUUUUAAUCACAUACAUUAAAACCAGAUUUUACUACAUUGUUAGAAGCUAAUGACCUGUUCUGGUCAUUACUAAGGCAGUUCAUUCUGUUCUGAAGCAUCAGGUCAUUGUGUCAUUACUAAGGCAGUUCCUUCUGUUCUGAAGCAUCAGGUUAUUACUAAGGCAGUUAUUUCUGUUCUGGUCAUUUCUAAGGCAGUUCCUUCUGUUCUGAAGCAUCAGGCCAUUACGAAGGCAGUUCGUUCUGUUCUGAAGCAUCAGGUCAUUACUAAGGCAGUUCAUUCUGUUCUGAAGCAUCAGGCCAUUACUAAGGCAGUUCGUUCUGUUCUGAAGCAUCAGGUCAUUACUAAGGCAGUUCGUUCUGUUCUGAAGCAUCAGGUCAUUACUAAGGCAGUUCAUUCUGUUCUGAAGCAUCAGGCCAUUACUAAGGCAGUUCGUUCUGUUCUGAAACAUCAGGUCAUUACUAAGACAGUUCGUUCUGUUCUGAAGCAUCCGGUCAUUACUAAGGCAGUUCGUUCUGUUCUGAAGCAUCAGGUCAUUGUGUCAUUACUAAGGCAGUUCCUUCUGUUCUGAAGCAUCAGGCCAUUACUAAGGCAGUUCGUUCUGUUCUGCAGCAUCAGGUCAUUACUAAGGCAGUUAGUUCUGUUCUGAAGCAUCAGGCCAUUACUAAGGC